This 433-nucleotide ribosomal RNA is filed under the name uncultured bacterium. Its description in RNAcentral is "partial 16S ribosomal RNA". It matches the Rfam family "Bacterial small subunit ribosomal RNA", at positions 29 to 507 of the family's 1533-position model. The record is from RNAcentral.
AACGAACGCUGGCGGCAUGCCUAACACAUGCAAGUCGAACGAUGCUGUCGGGCAUAGUGGCGCAGGGGUGCGUAACGCGUGGGAAGCUGCCCUUGGGUUCGGAAUAACAGUGAGAAAUUUCUGCUAAUACCGGAUGAUGUCUUCGGGCCAAAGAUUUAUCGCCAAGGGAUGAGCCCGCGUAGGAUUAGCGAGUUGGUGGGGUAAUCGCAUACCAAGGAGACGAUCCUUAGCUGGUCUGAGAGGAUGCUCCGCCACGAUGGGACUGCGGCACGGACCACUACGGGACGGAAGGGUGCAGUGGAGAAUAUUGGGCGCUGAGGCCAAGCGUAGCCCAGCAAUGCCGGGUAAGAGAGGCAGGCCUUAGGAUUCUGCAGCUGCCUUACACGAGAUGUUAAUGACGGUACCGGGUGAAUAAGCACCGGCUAACUCCGUG